AUGUAAAGUUAAGAUGGAGUCGACUGUGGAUAUUAAGUGUUUAAAGGAAAAAUUUAUACUUUAUGUGUAAGACAACAGUAAGCUACUGAAAUGUACAAUUUAACAUGGUCAAGACUUGUGUUUUAGGAUUUUCUCUUUGAAAGAGAAGACGCUGGAGACAAGGAAACUAAUGAAGAGGAUAUUGCCGACAAGAGACUGGAGACAAGAAGACUAAUGAAAAGGAUAUUGCAGACAAGAGAUCUAAGAUUCAUCAGUUCCAAAGUAAAAACAAAUUUAUUGGAUAUAUAUAGGAUGAUCAGGAGAAAAAGGUGAAAACUGUCAAUGUCGUGUGUGUAUUUAAAUAAUUUUUUCUGAUACAUAUAUCCUGGAAUGCAUUGUUGUUGUAGUUGUCCUGAUCGAAAACUCAAACAUUAAGGAUCUUUUGACUUUGGGGAAAUGACACAAGUGUCCUGUAUUUGUUUCCUCUGACUAUGAGUGGAUUAGACUAGAGGGCCUUUAAGAACCAUUGCAGUUUUAGAUUUAUAUGUAACUAUGAUCCUCCUGGGCAAGUAGGUAGUGCGGUGGGUAGUGCCCCUCCUGGAGUUAGGAAGACCUAAAUUCAAAUACUUGCUAGCUGCCUGACUCUAAAUCAUCUAAUCCUGUUGACCUCCAUUUCCUCGUUUAAAAAAAGAAAAGAAAAGCUGGGGAAGGAAGUGGCAAAUCACUCAUUUCUACCAAAAAAAUCCCCAAAUGAGGUUAAGACUCAGACAUGAUUGAACAUCAACAACAAACGAUCCUCUUCCACAUAUCCUAUUUUCCCUCAGCGGGGGUGACCUAUACUAACAUUUUCCCGAUAUUCGCCAACGCUUUUAUCCUCGCCUGACAAAAUCUGUAUUCUUUUUGUAUGUGCUUAUUUAUGCCCAUGUUGCCUCACAAUGGAAUGAUACAUUUAGAUACAUUUAUUUAAACCCUUAUUAACUAGCCACUGUGCGAACUAAGUCACUGACUUAGAUUUAACUCUCCCAGGCGUUUAUACGCUUCAUGAAUAAAGUCAUGUGGACUUUAAAAAUGCAUUAAAAAUUUUAUCAGACUUGGACAUCGGCGCCUAAGCGUCCCUCGCUUCCCAGGCACGAGGCUUUAACCAGCCUCUCCACCCGCCUCUGUGAAAGGGCGGUAACAAAGAGCCGGGGCUCGCUGAGCAGGCGCAGCCUCGCGCGCCCCGAGGUCCCAAGGCCCGCAGACCCCAGCCGUCGGUGGGCACCGACGCCUCUCGUUAUCCCCAGCGGCCUCCUCCGAGGCUGGGAGCGGCCCAGGUCGGAGCUCUCACAGGGCCCGAGAGGAGAGAGGGCAGCCGCAUUUCAGAGAGAGCCGCCCCGGGGAGACGGAGCGGCCCGCUCAAGGUCACGCAGCGGCAGCCAUGUCUUUGGCCUCCAUCCGGGGCCACCUACAAGCGCUGGCCGAGCAGGGGGCACCGACACCGCCCCCCUCGGGGAGGCCGUGCUGGGGGCUUCAGACGGGCUCGGUCACAAGCAGAGAGAGGACGCCUCCUUUACUGGGGCCCCAAGAACAAAACAACUGGGCCUCCUUUUCCACCAGCAGCCUCUCACAAAGGCUCGACCGUUGUUGCCUAAGCAACCGGCUCCUAGUAACCGCUCCUUCCGGCAGAACACUUCCGUUUCCACUUCAGAGGAAGUGACUUCACCCUAGCUUUCUGAGGUUUGCACAGUGCCUGAUUCAGACUAAAUGCUUACUGACUUAGAGGUGAUUUCUUGGGUAAAUACUUUCCACCAAGCUCUAUGAUCCCCAUAGCUUUGUGCUAGGCAUUGGAGACACAAAUAUUUUAAAAAAUUGUCCUCAAGGCACUUUCAAUUC
This 1851-nucleotide long non-coding RNA is filed under the name Sarcophilus harrisii (Tasmanian devil). RNAcentral describes it as "lncRNA (ENSSHAG00000021054.1)". Lineage: Eukaryota; Metazoa; Chordata; Mammalia; Dasyuromorphia; Dasyuridae. The record is from RNAcentral.